CCUCCUCUCUCGCUCGCUCGCUCGCUUGCUCGCUCUCUGCUCUUCCUCCGCCUCCUCAUCUGCUCAUUAGUAACCAUGCACAUACUUCUUCCCCACAGGAGGAGAUUACGCAAGGCAGCCUGCGCCUCAUCUGCAUACACUUACAUGCUGGGUAUUCCCCACAUUCCCUAGCAGUAAGGCCACUAGCGAAGACCUUCCCCUUUGCGCACAGAGAGAGAGAGAAAGAAGGGGGAAGCAACGGCGACUUGUGAGGGAGAGACGGAAGGUUUUCUGGAGGGGGGGAGGGAGGGAAGGGGAGGGGAGGCGGUUCCUAGCGAAGGUUGCCAGAUAUGAACUUCUUAUAAACACGAAGCAAAAGCAACCCUGGAUAGACCCGAGCCUUUCCCGAGAACGUGGUGGUGACAGAGCCUAGGGCUGCCUCUGCCCUCAAGGCUUCCAUUAGUCGCUCUAUCGACUGCAUCGGAAAUGCUUGAGCAUCCCAGCGCAGCAGCGAAAGGAGACCAGCACAUAUUCCUAGCUCCCCCCGGCCCCUCCUUCCUCGGCACCAUCUCCCCAAAGGAAACUGAGCAGUUCAGGGAAAUGCGGGGGGGGGGGGAUAAGUGAUGCUACCCAUCCGAACACACUAAGUCCCCCCUUUUCACCCCGCUGGCAAAACCUUGAGCUCUCACCCCUGUGUGUGUAUAUUAUUUCAAAGUCUUCUUUCAGUACAUGCACGCAAGCCAGCAAAAGCACUUGCUCUCCGACUGCCAAAGGGGGUGGGGGUGGACAAAAACAACCAGCGACAUGACACUGCCUCUCUCCCCCCUCCACAGUGACAGUAAAACCCCUGACCGUGGCGAUCAAGGCCACCUCAGAGGGUUGUCAGUUGCUUCGAGCCCCACAGGAAAAAGAAGGGGGUGAGUAUUUGCAGCAGGAGCUCACCUGGGAGUCACCGAGAAGGAGGAAAGCCCUCUAACUGCCGCCCUUCUUGCUGCUGCUGCUGCCGCUGGUGUUGUUGUUGUUGUUGACGACCGGCCCGUGUGUGAUUUCUUGUUGCUCUCUUGCUAAGCCUGUGUCUGCCUUUAAAUGCCUUGCUGCAUUGCUUUAUAUAGAGAGGCAGAAAGAGAUAUUCCGACAGCCAAAGGGCGUCUGAUUCGUGUGUUUCUAUUCAAACCGAUCAUUCAUCUUGCUUGGCUCUUUUCCGCUUUCUCUUUUCCCUUUCUCUCUCCGCGUCAGCUCGACUUUAUUACAAAAAAACACACCUAUACACGCGCGCAUAUAUAUAUAUAUAUGUAUGUAUGUAUAGAUAUAUAUACACACACAUACAUCCACACGUAUCAAGGGCAGGCCCGAGAAGCCGCAGUUGUUGUGUGUGUGUGUGUGUGUGUGUGUGUGUGUGUGUGUGGUGUGGCGUGCGUGUCCCCCCCCCCCUUUCUCCUCCCUUCUGGAUGAUAGGAGCCUCUGAUCUGCAGACAGACUGGGUUAUUCCUGGCACCACUUCCCAGAACAGAAGUUACAAGGGGAGAGCGAGCGAGCGAGGGGAGAGCUCAGCCAGUGAUGUCAUCGGAUCCCCCAGCGCGUCCCGGGGAGGGAGGGAGGGAGGCAGGCAGGCAGGCGAGGAGGCUGAACCAGAAGGCCAGCAGCGCGAGAGAGCCGCCGCGGGCUCCGCUGCGCGCCUUUGACAGGCGGAGUGCGUAGGAGAGGGGCACCGAGGCGGGGCGGAGAGACAGAGAGAGGGAGGGAGGGAGAGGAGGAGAGGGAGGGGCGGGGCCUCCUUGAGAGCGGAGAGCUACGCGCCUCCCUCGCCGGUCAGGGGAGAUCUCGCUUCCUCUUCCCUCCCCCCGCGGAGGGAACUCCCAGGAGAGCCGGUCUCAACUUGCCGGGCAAAAAAAAAAAAAGUUGUGCGACUUCCUCGCCUGAGAAUUUCCUUUAAGGAUGUGGGUGGGAUCUUCUUUCCCGCGGCCAGGCUCCCCUUCCUCCGCCUCCUCCGCCCUUUUUGGUUGCUUUCCGUCCCCGGUCUCCGCCUCCUUCGCCUGGCCAAGGUCAUUCCUGCGGCAUUUCUUCCUUGCUUUCUUUUUUAAAGUUUGCCUUUUGCGGCUUCUUCCGGCGAAUCGCCUGCCCCGCUGCCCUUUUCCCUCGAUGCGCCCGGGAGAAGUUCGUCGGAUGCUGGCGGGACCUGGCUGUUGCUCCUGCGGCCUCGCGGCUUUUGCCUUGUCCUCGGCGGCAUGCGAUUUUCGAAAACAAAAUGUCUCUUAGCGGCGAUGCUUCAGCAGCAGCCGGUGUGGAUUUCCAGGCGGGAAGCGAAUAGUUUAGGGAAUGUUCUUGCUUUGACUUUGGUGAUUAGCCGCAAUAUUUACUUGCGUUGUGGUGGGGGUCUUUUUUUCUCCCCAUGGCAGAUAAAUAAAUUCAUUUUAAAGAGGUGCGGGGGCGGGUCGUAAUAAAAAAUAUUUUGGUUGAUUUGCAGAUUUAUAGAAAUUGUCCAGAUCAGAUGACGUUCUUUCAUGAAUGUUAUGGGAACGCCAGCAACUCUUUUUUCAAAGGACUGUCAGUCUGAAUAGUAGGAACUUCGGAGUUUGUCUGCGCUCUCUGGGCCAAUCAAAAUUUGUAUCUCUUUACCUCCGCUGGGUUUGAGCCAUUCUCAAGCAGAUAUGGAAUGGAAUGGAAUUUGGAAAAUGGGAUCUAGUAGAAUCUAAAUUCACAUGACUUAAGUUCGGAUCACACAAAACCAUCAGCAAACGGUGCCAUAAAACUUGUGGAACCAAAUCUUGUAUGUUGCUGCAGCGGUAUAAAAAAACAUACAGGCUCAAAGAGACAUCCUUGUGGUUUUCACAUGGAGCCCAUCCCCCAAGCCAUCUUCAAGGGCACAUCCUUUUCUAUGGACUUAACAUAACUUAAUUAAAAAAACCCUAAUAAUAUAAACCCUAACUAUAACCAUGGACUUAUAGCUUUGGGGUCUAGCAUCUGCUUUGCAUGCAGAAUGUCCCAGGUUCAAUCCUGCUGCUGCCAGUCAGUGUAGGCAAUACUCAGAUCAGGGGUUGCUAUCCAGGUGGUCCACAGUCCAUCUGUGCAUUUAUGGCUGAAAAUGGGAGUCAUCACAUCCACCACAUUAAAUAUUGGUAUUGUUUUUACUUGUAGUUUUAUUGUUGCUUUUAUUUCUUGUAUUUUAUUUAUUGGAAUUUGACUUCUGCAGAAUUCAAAAUGUAAUAUUGCAAUUGUAUUUUGUAAUACUACAAAAUACAAUUGAUAAGAAAUAAAAGCAGCAGUAAAAGUACAGCCCCUAGCACAUCACAUUACAAUUGCUACAACAGGCAGAAAAAUCAUUAAGAAGACUGCCAAGACCAGCAAUUUUCAAAUAGUCUUUUUUUUUUUUUUGCAGGGGGAGGGUACUUUGGGAACCACUGAGCUAGAUGGGCAGUGGUCUGACUGUAUAAUACAUCUCCCCAUGUUCCUUUCUACCAAGUGGUAUCUGGCAUUAUGUGUCUUCUCUGAAUAUGACUAAAGUUGCAUAUCCCACACAAAACCAAAAAUUUGAAGCAUGACACAGUCUAUAGACAAAGUUGUGAUUUGAUGGUGGAUUUGGAGAGACUCCAUACAAAAAGCUACACCUCCGGUUUGUGUUUUUGUGCCACUGUGGCACUACAAAACAUUGCAUUUGUUAUUUUUACAGUGUGGUCUGUGGGCAUGGAUUUGAGCUGUUGAUCCAUCUUUUUCAAAAUAGUGUACAAUUCCUGUAAGAAACUAAAAGGAAGCACACAUUAUUAUAUUUGAAAUGGAAGCUCUUGUAGUUCUCUGAUUUCUGGGUAAUUUGCAGCUACUUUCGAUUUUCACACAUCCUGCCAAGGUUUGGCGUUUACUUCUAUAGCGUAGAGUUGUAAUUUAAAGCCACCACCUCAAAUUAGAGUUUAGCCACACUGCCACAACCUUGGACUGGUAGUUCGGAAGAACUGCAAUCUGUUUGUUCAUACCAAAAGCCCUUUCCUGGCUGUGUGAAAUGCAGUACCCUCUGGGAUUGGUCCUGAGUGUCUGUAAUAAUAGUAGGAAUUAAAAUGUUAUGUGAAUAGGGGCAUGGAAAGAAGCAGCUCUAGGGAACUCCAACCGAGAAAUGUGACCUAGGACGGUAAUCGUUCUGAGAUCAAGUUGUUAAGAAUCACACAGUGUUAAGUAAAGUUUGUACCAUGCUUGGAUCCCCUGUGGCAUCAUUUUAUACUGUUUGCAGCAGCAAAUAUUACAGGGUUUCAAGAGGAAUUUUAAAAACAAAGCGAAAUGGUCUAGUAGUUAAAGCCUCCGGGUCAUUGUUUAAAAGAAACACUGAUAAAAACUGGAAAAGAGGGAGGGGGGCAUUUGUUUACACAGAGUUGCAAAUGGAGAAGAUAAGGACGACAAAUUUCAGUCAGCAAAAAGAAACAGAAGAAUUAAGAGGUAUCUUAUAAUUUUCCAUUUGGUGAAAGAGGGAAUACAAGUUUUGACAUACCUGAAGCGUUCUGUGUACCCAGAAGAAACACUACAUAUACAAGUUGCAAAUUGUUCACAGGAAUUCAUAGUAAAGGAGACCGUAGAGACUCAUUUCUGACUCAUUCAAAGCUGUUUGCACAUAUUUAUUAAUUUGGGGAGGUGUGUGAAUCACUUCCAAUAAGUGACUUAUUAAAAACUGCAUAGUGUGUGUGGUAUAAGAACAUACACAUGGUGUCUAGAAUACUAGAAAUUGUUUAAUCUUGGAGUACACUGGAUACUAGUGCAUCCAUUAAGUACAUGCCCAAGUCAUUCAACUUUCAGGCUGAUGGCACCAUAGGUAGAAUCUCACCCUUUUAGGGCUGCUUGGGUAGUUGUUCCAUGUAUGUUCUGUUACGUAUAAAUGCAGUUGUUUCAACCAUUUUGCGUAUCACCAAACCUAAGAAUCACAUUCAACAUGAGUCUGCACAGAAGCCCCCCUGGCUGGGCCAAUGGAAUGCCAGCUCUGCAUGUGGGAUAGUAAGUACUUACAGAGUAUGUGUGCAAUACUGGCAAGCAUUUUACCAGACCCAACAUGGUGUAGUGUUUAAGAGCGGUGGACUCGUAAUCUGGUGAACCAGGUUCGCUUCCCCGCUCCUCCACAUGCAGCUGCUGGGUGACCUUGGGCUAGUCACACUUCUCUGAAGUCUCUCAGCCUCACUCACCUCACAGAGUGUCUGUUGUGGGGGAGGAAGGGAAAAUAGAUUGUUAGCCACUUUGAGACUCCUUAAGGGGAGUGUCAGGGAACUGCCAUCGGACGGAAGGGAGGUGAAAGGGCUCACACAGGUUGGGAGAGACGCAGCAGCUGAAGAGGAAACCAACAGGGAGGUGAAAGGGCUCACACAGGUUGGGAGAGACGCAGCAGCUGAUGAGGGAACCAGCAGGGGAGAGGAGCUGAGCUGGAGGGAUGGCUCAGAGACACUUCCAGCGAAAACAGUGGAGAGGUUUCAGGACCUCCUGUAAGAACACCCACUCCUCGCCGGAAACUGUCACGCAGAGAUUCCAGAAGACGUGUUUCCGUUAAGGAGCUUUUAUGUUGGAAGCGAUUACGAAGCAACCACUGUCGGAAUCUGCUAGUGACUAGAGUAGCCAUGUCUGAGGGGCUCUGUCACAGACAGAGGUUUGUGGACUUGAACAAACUCUGAGGGAUACGAUUUUACGCACAAGCAGCUCAUCAUCCCAUCACAGCAUUCCGACAGUCUUUGAAAGCAGCUUGUGCAGGAGAAGGUAUCAUGAGCAACCCAGCCGGAACCGGAGAAGCAGGAGCUGGAGCGGGUCCAAGCCUGGAAGAAAGGUACCAGAUGUUGGAGGUCCAGCUAGCGAUGCAGACGGCGAGGCUUGAGGAGAGGAGGGCUCAGGAUGCAGACAAACCGGGGAAAGCCACCCAGUUCGCCAGAAAGGUACCAGGAUUGGUGCAGAAGUUUGGGGGGGAGCCCAAAAACUAUCAUGGUUUUCGGACAGAAAUGCAAUAUGCCCUCAAUCUGCAGUUUGAUGAAUUCCCUGACGAGGAAUCACGAGUGGCUUUCGUGAUUGAGCAUCUUGAAAAGGGGGGCGAGAGACUGGGUUAGACCCCUGAUGGCAGCGAAUAGUGACGUCUUAAAAGACACGAUGAAGUUCUUUCGCGCCAUGGAUCUGAUGUUUUCCAGCGAUAUUGAAAAGGGAGUGGUGCGCAGACAGUUAAUGGGUUGCAAACAGGGGAGCCGAUCUGUCCGUGAGUACUGGACUGAGUUCACCAUGCUUGUUCACAGAUUGGGGUGGGACUUAUCGGCGGAACCCAUUCAAAUGCUCUUUGAAGAAGGGCUUUCUUCGGCUGUGAAAGACGAACUUUCCCGGGCGCCCAGGGCGGAGUCUAUGGACCAGCUGACCAAAUCAGCGCUGGCCAUAGGAGCGCGCCAGGAGGCGAGAGCAUUGGAGAGGCGGGAAGGGAAAGGGGAACGUUGGAAGGAGUUCCGCAUUCCAGACAUUCCAGAGCCAACUUUCCCACCGGCAGAGCCGAUGGAAAUCGGAACAGCGCGCGCGCGCAGUUUCAAAGCCCAGUGAGGGGGCAAAGAAGGAGGGAAAAGGCGCCCGGAAAUGCUAUCUCUGCCAACAGCCAGGUCACUUUGCCAGAGUCUGCCCCCAGAGGAAAGAAUGGCAAGGGAUGGUAGGGGCUGUGGAUGGAAGAGAGGAAAAUAUACCGGAGCAAGUAAAGCCAACGCCUGGCUGCCACUGUCAGGGCACAGCAGCCAGGCCAAAGAGCAGUGAGAGUGCCCACGCCAGAACCUCCUAAACCCGCCCUAGUGAUAGAAGUGACGCUAGAGCUGCCAAACGGACACCCUCUAAAGAUAAAGGCGCUGUUGGACUCAGGCAGCUCCUGCAAUUUCAUGAGCAAAGAGUUUGCAGCUGAACACCAGAUACAGACAAUCCCUUUAAGCAGCCCCCUGCAGGUGACCACGAUCGAUGGCAGGGAGCUGUUGGGUGGAGAAGUCAGCUUGCAGACCGUCCCAAUGAUAAUGAAGGUAGCAAGGCACACCGAACUGAUAGCUUUUAAUGUGGCCACCUUGGGAGGAGCUCCCAUUAUAUUGGGGAUGAGCUGGCUAGCGUUACAUGAUCCGCUGGUGGGCUGGCAUCAGAGAGUGGUUUCUUUUGGUUCAGCACAUUGCUUAGAACACUGCAAAGAGGGAAAGGGUUUGGCAGGGGUCCAAGCCACCCUAGCAGGGACUGAAGUAACAGAGAACGUGAAGGUACCACGACAAUAUGCAGAUCUCCGUGACGUCUUCAGCGAAAGGGAAGCUGACCAACUACCCCCGCAUAGACCCUUUGACUGUCAAAUCAACUUACUCCCUGGAGCACAGCUCCCUGUAGGCAAGCUGUACGCCAUGUCAGACAGAGAGAUGCAGGAGUUAAGAGAGUUCAUUGACAAGAACCUGAAGAGAGGGUUCAUCAGAGAGUCCAGGGCGGUGGGGGCAGCCCAGUGUUUUUGUGGAUAAGAAAAACACGAACAAGCCGAGGCUGGUGUGUGACUUCAGGGCCUUAAAUGCAGUGUCAGAACCAGUAGCCUUCCCUAUGCCCAGGAUUGACGACAUUUUGACAAGGGUGCGGAAGGGAAAGAUUUCACAAAGCUGGACCUAAGGGGGGCGUACAACCUGGUACGAAUAAGGAAGGGGGAUGAAUGGAAAACCACUAUGUUCACCCCUUUAGGGGCAUUUGAAUAUUUGGUUAUGCCCUUCGGCCUCCAAGCAGGCUCCGCAACCUUUCAAUCGUUUAUGAACCACGUCCUGGGGCCUUUGCUUUACAAGAAUUGUGUGGCCUUUUAGACGACGUGUUGGUGUAUUCUGAGAAUGAGGAGCAGCAUGUGAGAGACGUCAGAGAAGUGUUGAGCAGGCUGCAAGCCAACCAGCUGUGGGUGAAACUGGAGAAGUGUCAGUUUCAUACCAAGGAGGUGGAAUUCCUGGGGUAUCGCCUGUCAGACAAGGGAUUGGCCAUGGAUCCCGGCAAGGUCCAGGCUGUGCUGGAAUGGAAAGCACCCAAAACAAAGAAGGAUGUGCAGAGGUUCCUAGGAUUUGGGAACUUCUAUCGUAAGUUCAUCCGAAACUUUGCCCACCUGACGGCGCCCAUUACGGACUGUCUCAGCAGUAAGAAGAAGUUCGUGUGGACUGAGGAGGCGGAGCGAGCAUUUGAGGAACUAAAAGGGCCUUCGCCUCGGAACAACAACUCCUGCAUGUGGAUUUACAAAAACCGAUGAGAGUGGAAACUGACGCAUCAGACAGAGCGAUUGGGGCGGUGCUUCUGCAGCCAGGCAAGAAGGGGUCAGAGUGGAGACCGUGUGCCUUUUUUCCGCGAAAGCUGAACAAAUCCGAGAGGAACUACACGGUGUAUGACCGAGAACUACUAGCCAUUCAUGAGGCGUUCCGGAGAUGGAGGCACCUGCUAAUUGGCGCACAACAUAAGGUGCAAGUGUGCACUGACCACAAGAACCUAGAGUAUUGGAGGACGGCACGAGUGCUCAACCAACGGCAAGUGAGAUGGGCCCAGGAGUUCUCCAAAUUUAACUUUGAGAUUAGUUACGUGCCAGGCCCAGAGAACAUUAGGGCGGACGCUCUCUCACGCAAACCUGAAUAUUUGGAGGAGGGGGCACCGAAGAGAGACAUGUCAUUCCAGAAGACCGCUGGGUGUGUGGGGCGGCAUUGGUGGGACAAAGAGAACUGGUAGAGGAAACAGAGAAUGAUGAAUACGCCCAGAAUAAGCUCAGAGGUCUUAGGGGUGAUGGAGAGGAACCAGGGGUUUCGAGGAAAGAAAUGGAGCUUUGUAUUACAAAGGGGCACUGUAUAUCCCUGAAGGAGAGUUAAGGGGAGGGUACUCAAGCAGUUGCACGACAGCCCUACGGCGGGGCAUUUUGGACAACACAAAACCAUGUGGUUGGUCACCAGGGAAUUUUGGUGGCCUAAGGUGAGGGAAGAUGUACGUGAGUAUGUAAGAGGGUGCGAGCAAUGCCAGCGAGCCAAAGGGGAAAGGCGGGCGCCGGCGGGGCUGUUAGAACCCUUACCAACCCCAGAACGACCUUGGGAGGCAGUGUCGAUAGAUUUUAUGACUGAUCUGCCGAAGUCCAAAGGGAAAACAGCCAUCAUGGUGGUGGUAGACCUACUAACAAAGAUGUGCCACUUUGUAGCUUGCUCGCAUGCAGUCACGGCGGAAGAGACAGCGAAGUUAUUUGUAGAAAACAUUUUUAGGUUGCACGGGGUGCCAUUGAGGGUGGUCUCAGACCGAGGAAAACAAUUUACUUCCAGGUUCUGGAGGAAGCUCAUGAGCUUACUGCAGGUGGAGGUCAUUUUUCGACUGCCCGGCACCCUGAAACCAACGGGCAGGCGGAAAGAGCAAACGGUGUCCUCCAGCAAUACCUGAGGUGUUAUGUCAAUGACAGAGAGAAUGACUGGGUAGAAAAGUUGGCGCUGGCGGAAUUUGCCUACAACAAUGCCGAGAAUGUGUCCACAGGGAUGAGCCCCUUCUUGGCUAAUUAUGGGUGUCAUCCCAGGGCUUUCCCAGGGGAGAGGGGAGAGAUGGAGCGUCCCGGCAGCCGAGCAUUUUGUGGAAGAAAUGGAAGCAAUCCAUCGUCAGCUCCAACUCAACUUAGAAAGGGCGAAGGAAGAAUACAAGAGGCAGGCAGACAAGAACCGAAGGGAAGGUGAAACCAUAAGGGUGGGAGAUAGGGUGUGGCUGUCAACCCAAGGGUUGCCGUUCAAAGGAGGUUGUAAGAAAUUAAGACCCAGGAGGUUGGGUCCCUUUGAGGUCAUUCAACAGGUCAACCCAGUGGCUUUCAGGCUCCGGUUACCCAACCACAUGAAACUGCACCCAGUAUUUCACAGGUCGUUACUGUCACCGUACGAAGGGGGACGAGAAGGGCUGGCCACUCGGGGACCGGUCGUAGAAGAAAGAGAAUGCAGCAGCCAUGUGGCAGAAAUCCUCGACGCCAGGUGGAAGGGGGAUCAGGUGGAGUAUUUGGUAGCGUGGGAAGGAGAACCGGAGUCAGAAAACACUUGGGUAAUGGCUGAAGAUAUCAAUGACGAGGUAUUGAUAGAAACGUUCCAUCAAAGGUUCCCAAGGAAACCUCAGCCUGUGGAGAGGUUCCGGAGGGAAUACUUUGGGACCACUGAUGAAGGGGAGGAGUUGGAAGGAUUCCCGGACUCGGAAGGGGAAGGGGGGAUGGACUCUGAGGAGGAGGUGUACUUCGAGACCAGGAACCGCAACAGGUUGAGAGAAGUGUUCGAGACAUCGGAAGAUGAAGGAAGUUCAUUCCGGGGUUUUGCCUCCUCACCGCCCGUAGAGGAGGGGCGAGAGGGGUGAAGGGGGCCCUGGAGGGGAGGUGGAUGUCAGGGAACUGCCAUCGGACGGAAGGGAGGUGAAAGGGCUCACACAGGUUGGGAGAGACGCAGCAGCUGAAGAGGAAACCAACAGGGAGGUGAAAGGGCUCACACAGGUUGGGAGAGACGCAGCAGCUGAUGAGGGAACCAGCCAGGGAGAGGAGCUGAGCUGGAGGGAUGGCUCAGAGACACUUCCAGCGAAAACAGUGGAGAGGUUUCAGGACCUCCUGUAAGAACACCCACUCCUCGCCGGAAACUGUCACGCAGAGAUUCCAGAAGACGUGUUUCCGUUAAGGAGCUUUUAUGUUGGAAGCGAUUACGAAAGCAACCACUGUCGGAAUCUGCUAGUGACUAGAGUAGCCAUGUCUGAGGGGCUCUGUCACAGACAGAGGUUUGUGGACUUGAACAAACUCUGAGGGGAUACGAUUUUACGCACAAGCAGCUCAUCAUCCCAUCACAGGGAGUGAAAGGUGGGAUAUCAAAUACAAACUCUUCCUCUUCUUCAGAGGUCAGCAAACUUUUUCAGCAGGGUGCCGGUCCACUGUCCCUCAGAUCUUGUAGGGGGCCGGACUAUAUUUUUUGGGGGGAGGGGGAUGAACAAAUUCCUAUGCCCCAUGAAUAACCCAGAGAUGCAUUUUAAAUAAAAGCACACAUUCUACUCGUGUAAAAACACCAGGCAGGCCCCACAAAUAACCCAGAGAUGCAUUUUAAAUAAAAGGACACAUUCAUGUAAAAACACUGAUUCCUGGACUGUCCACGGGCUGGAUUUAGAAGGCAAUUGGGCCAGAUCCGGCCCCUGGGCCUUAGUUUGUCUACCCAUGUUCUUCUUCUUCUACCCAUCACUUUUGUUGCAUCUCGUCUGGCUGUUCCGAUGCACAUCAGUGGUGUCUGUAGCACGUAUAACAACACUCACUUGAUGUGUGUGUCCAUUUUAAAACGUAUUCCUUGUCAUAUAUACGCAGUAGGGAAGCCAUAACUCAGUGGUAGUACAUGUGCUUUGCAUGCAGAAGGUCUCAGGUUCAAUCUCUGGCAUCUCUAGGUAGAGCUGGGAGAGACCAGUCUGAAAUCACAGAAAUUGCCAAUCAGUGUAGACAAUUCUGAGCAAGAUGGAUCAAUGGUCUUACUCAAUAUAUUGCAGCUUAAUAUGUUCUCAGUAACAAGGCAAUUAAAUAGCCCCUACUACUGCCUUUUCUGUGGUGGCUCUCCACUUAUGGAAUGCUCUUCACAGGGACACUUGCCUGGUACCUUUGUUACAUAUCUUUAGGUGCCAGGCAAAAACAUUUCUCUUCUCCCAAGCCUUUGGCUAAUUAAACAAUUUGUGGCCUUUUUAACUGGGGGAUUGUUUUUGUCUGUUACUACGCUAUGCAUUUCUGUGUUUUUAUAUUGUAAACUGCCCUGUGAUCCUCGGAUGAAGAGAAGUAUAGAAGUUUAAAUAACAAAAACAACAUCUUACAUAUAGCUCAAUACAUAGGCAAAUGCAUUUUAAGAGAAAUGUAUGUGGAAUAUCUUGUGCAAUAUCAGUUCUGAGGACCUUUGGGACCCUCCCAGUUCUCUAAUUCCAUGAUGAUAUUACAUUAUUCGAAUCUCCUCGAAUAAGGUGAAGGGUGAAGGAUCUUAGCAAAGGGGAAUUAAGAUGAAGGGAUAUGCUACAGUGUUUGCAUAGCAAUGGCCAGAUCAAAUCAUUUAGCUGAGGAACAUGUGUCCCUGCUCUGGAGCGUUGCAUUCUAAAAGCAAGUUUUAUCGCUAUAUAUAUACAUACAUAAAAUCUAUACCUACAUAUUAAACAAGUUAUGAGCCGAACUAACCUAUGGUGCAUUAAUAUGUGUUAUUAUUUGACAUAAAUGAUAAUGACAUCUAACAGAAUACAGAACGGGUAGGAUUAUUAGACAACUGUAAUUAUGGAUAUUGAGCCCUUAAUGGGGGGAAUCAUUUUUAAGUUCCCCAGACCCUGAAAAAGUUGAAUUUAAAUAAUGCAGUUUUUACUUGUCAGAUCCCCCUUUCAGCUAAGUAGCACGUUGAACGGGAGCUGCCUGAAAAAUCUGCCAAACCAUUAUGAGCACUCCAAAUUGAAGAUAAAUGAAUCUCUUGAGUGCCACCCCCAGCUUGUCUUGAAUAUUCAUUUUUACUUUUUAUUUUUACAGUAUUUGAUGAGUGAAAAAGUAUUAUUUGACCAUUUGCAAAUGUGCUGGUAUAAAAAAUGCAAGAAGAUGUCUCCAAGAAAUAAGAUGUACAUGAGAACAAAGCGACAAGUUAUGAAAUAUUAGCAGAAAAAUGGGUUGUAGACAAUGUUACUUCAGUUGUUACACUUCUAUAGGUUUCACAGAAUAAAGGAACAAAUAAAAUUCUUUUUCUUAUUGGGCCAAGUAUUUGUAUAAAUGGUACCCCUAAUUUAAAGCUGCGUCCCUAAGCAAACUUUCUCACAAGUAAGCAUCAUUGAAUACAUUGGAACUUACUUCCGAGAAAACAUUCAUAUUAAUGUGCUACAAAAGGUGUAAUGUUUGUCAAGUGCAGGAGCUGAUCUAAUGUAAGAUAUUAUUUCACCUGUUCUUUGUCUCUCUUGAUUUUUGUCAUUUAAUCUUCACCGAGACAGAAUGUGGCCAACUCCCUUGAAUGCAGUGUUUGUUUCCCAAUAUUCUGAUGGGCAUCAGUAGAAACUAUAAGCUUCAAACAUUUAUUCUAUUUUGCCCUCAUCUUUUUUGUGUUCCAGUUUCUAUCUGGGUGUACUGCAGAGCUCAACAAUUUUCCUUAAAGAUUUUCAGAAUUGCAAAAACAGAAAAGGGGCUGAGUCAACUACAGCACUAUGGUGAUCUGCAAUGUAGCUUUAUUAGACAUUGUUUUGUUUUUUUGUUUUUUGUCUAGGAAUGAAAUUAAUUAACAGCAAUUACAGUGUGUGAAGCAGACACUCUUAACACCUUUAUAUUGUGGCUGCUUCAGACAAAAGCUGUCAAUGCAAAUGGAGUUUGAAUACCAGUGCAAACAUUUGGUUUACGGUAAGGUUCAACUAGAACACUUUGUAUAUUGUUUUAAUUCUUUAUAUCUUAUCUUCAAACUAGCCUGCUUGUGUAGUAAGAUCUUCUGUAGAAGCCUUUCCCCAAACACUGCUUUAACAAAGGUCUAUUGUGUAGGGACGCAGGUGGCGCUGUGGGUUAAACCACAGAGCCUAGGUCAGAAGGUCGGCAGUUUUAAUCCCCGCAACGGGGUGAGCUCCCAUUGCUCAGUCCCUGCUCCUGCCAACCUAGCAAUUUGAAAACACGUCAAAGUGCAAGUAGAUAAAUAGGUACCGCUCCAGCGGGAAGGUAAACGGCGUUUCCGUGCGCUGCUCUGGUUCGCCAGAAACGGCUUAGUCAUGCUGGCCACAUGACCUGGAAGCUGUACGCCGGCUCCCUCAGUCAAUAAAGCGAGAUGAGCGCCGCAACCCCAGAGUCGGUCACGACUGGACCUAAUGGUCCGGGUCCUUUACCUUUACCUAUUGUGUAGUCAUAAAGCAGAGAGCCCGUUCUGUGGUGGCUCUCCAACUUUAGAAUGUCCUUGCAAAGGAGGUGUGUGUGGUGCUGACUUUACAAUUUGUUGGCCUCAAGUUAAGAUGUUCUUAUUUUUCCAGGUAUUUUAGAAAGAAUUGCAAUUGGAACUGCUUUUCAGGAUUUAUAUCCAGCCCACCAGCCAAAAAAAAGCUCUCAGAACGGCUUACAAAAUUCAGUUCAAAGGUGGUCCUUUCCCAACAGCCUACCAGCUAAGAAGAUAUGGCACACAAGGAAAAAAGAAUGGGAAAGAGGAGGAGAAAGCAAGCUUAAGCACAAGUUAUUAUAGUUGCAGUUUUGGUAAAGAGCAGUCCCUUCCCUGAAGCACUCUUCUCUCUGAUGAGAUCCAGGAAUGGAACUGGUGACAACAUCCAGAAGAUCUGGUCAGCUCCUGCCACACAGUUCAUCCUUGAUGGCUAUUGAAGAUUCAAAGGAGAGGACAUGAUGAAGUUAUCCUCAUCCACCCCCAAAGUCAAUGGCAGUUCAGAAAACUCUUCCCUGCGUUUAUAACCAAGACCUCAGCUGUACUGCAGAGGUGGCAACAAAGCCAUGUGCCAGAAUUUCCAGAAGACCUCAGUGCUUUAGCAUGUAUGCUGGGUGUUGAUCACUUUGGAAAAAUCUGGCCCUCAUUUCUCUGCUGAGCAUUUGACAAUCUGGCCUCAGCUCCUUGAUGUGAAAAUCUGGCUCUGUACGUGGCAGAAAUUAGUCAGAGUAGCAUUUAGCACUGCAGUUAUGCAACAGACAAACUGAGAAGCAUUUGACAAAGCUGCUGAGUUUGUUCUCUUGCUGCGUGUCAGUUCUGUCCUUGAUUCCUCCUCAGCUGCCUGCUUCAAAAUGUACUAUUAUAGGACAGGGAGAAUUGAAUAUUUCUACUGGAUAUAUUUGCUUUGGGGGUGGGGUGACGGCAAUGAAAACUCUGCC
Molecule: long non-coding RNA, 14743 nt
Filed under: Podarcis lilfordi (Lilford's wall lizard)
Lineage: Eukaryota; Metazoa; Chordata; Lepidosauria; Squamata; Lacertidae
Rfam family: tRNA (bases 2915-2985)
Source: RNAcentral